UACGGCAGAGUCUGAGAGCUGAUCCUCCUCGUCUCCUCGAUAACAGAGUACCUUCUUCUCUUGAGAAAGCAGAGACAGCAAGACCCCAAAAUGAAAUUGGCAAUCGUCUGUCUGGCUCUUGCGACUGCGGCCUCGGGUCUGUACAUCCCUGCAGAAGAAAAGAGAGGUCUUCACGAAGUCGCUCAGAUAGUUGAGAAUGUCCUCAAGGAAAUUACUCAACUUGUUGAUAAUACCAGUCACACCCCUUCCAAGAGGAAUUUGGACGAUCUGGUAAAAAUUAUCCAAACCAUUCUUAACUCUGUCAUUGACAAAUCGAAUGAUAGCUCCAAGAGAGGUGUUUUAGUUAAUGUGGCUGAUUCAUUUGAUCAGAUAAUAGAGGAAAUCAAACAUGCGAUUCACCCAAAUAAUGAUCUUGACAAGAGAGGUGUCCUCAUUGAUUUUGCUGACAAGAUUGACAAAUUAUUUGAGGGUGUUCAGCAUGCGCUCCAUCCUGAUGACACAGGUAUUGCGGAAACAGUGUAAGAAAAACAUCAACAAGCAAAAGACGUCUGGGAAGCCAUUCUAAACGCAGAUCUUUAAUCUGCUUGAAAAAGAUCGGCUCGUGGUUGACAAAAAGAUCAACACUAUCAUCAAAGAACCCACCUACUGCCUUUUUCCUGUUACCUAGAGAAAUCUCCACGAUAGUGCCCAAAAGUUUGGUAUACAGCUAACAGUGCUCCCGUUGCUUUAAGCAUGGGCAUCUAUUUAAUGGCGUAUCUUGUAUAAUGUUGGGAAACAUUAAGCUACCUGUCAAAAAUGUAGACUGAAAUCUCCAAAGCACUUUUUAGAUAACAAGUCACCAAUUAAACUUUCCUUAAAAACGUUCAAA
This is a long non-coding RNA of Aplysia californica (California sea hare), 868 nucleotides long. RefSeq lists it as uncharacterized. Lineage: Eukaryota; Metazoa; Mollusca; Gastropoda; Aplysiida; Aplysiidae. The transcript is spliced from 2 exons. The record is from RefSeq and is a predicted model, not a curated record.